Molecule: ribosomal RNA, 253 nt
Filed under: uncultured bacterium
Lineage: Bacteria
Description: partial 16S ribosomal RNA
Rfam family: Bacterial small subunit ribosomal RNA
Source: RNAcentral
UACGGAGGAUGCAAGCGUUAUCCGGAAUUAUUGGGCGUAAAGCGUCCGCAGGUGGUUCAUCAAGUCUGCUGUCAAAGCGUGGAGCUUAACUCCAUAUCGGCGGUGGAAACUGAUGAACUAGAGUUCGGUAGGGGUCACGGGAAUUCCCAGUGUAGCGGUGAAAUGCGUAGAUAUUGGGAAGAACACCAGCGGCGAAAGCGCGUGACUGGACCGGUACUGACACUCAUGGACGAAAGCUAGGGGAGCGAAAGGG